RNAcentral lists this ribosomal RNA (506 nucleotides) under uncultured bacterium. Its description in RNAcentral is "bacterial SSU rRNA". It matches the Rfam family "Bacterial small subunit ribosomal RNA", at positions 8 to 507 of the family's 1533-position model. The record is from RNAcentral.
AGAGUUUGAUCAUGGCUCAGAUUGAACCGGCUGGCGGCAUGCUUUACACAUGCAAGUCGAACGGCAGCACGGGCUUCGGCCUGGUGGCGAGUGGCGAACGGGUGAGUAAUGCAUCGGAACGUACCGUGUAAUGGGGGAUAACGUAGCGAAAGUUACGCUAAUACCGCAUACGCCCUGAGGGGGAAAGUGGGGGACCGCAAGGCCUCACGUUAUACGAGCGGCCGAUGUCGGAUUAGCUAGUUGGUGGGGUAAAGGCCUACCAAGGCGACGAUCCGUAGCGGGUCUGAGAGGAUGAUCCGCCACACUGGGACUGAGACACGGCCCAGACUCCUACGGGAGGCAGCAGUGGGGAAUUUUGGACAAUGGGCGCAAGCCUGAUCCAGCCAUGCCGCGUGAGUGAAGAAGGCCUUCGGGUUGUAAAGCUCUUUCAGGUGGAAAGAAAUCGCACUUUCUAAUACAAGGUGUGGAUGACGGUACCAUCAGAAGAAGCACCGGCUAACUACGUG